RNAcentral lists this ribosomal RNA (392 nucleotides) under uncultured bacterium. Its description in RNAcentral is "bacterial SSU rRNA". It matches the Rfam family "Bacterial small subunit ribosomal RNA", at positions 29 to 409 of the family's 1533-position model. The record is from RNAcentral.
AAUCAACGCUGGCGGCGUGCCUAACACAUGCAAGUCGAACGCGAAAAGGGGCAACCCUGAGUAGAGUGGCGUCCGGGUGAGUAACACGUGGAUAAUCUGCCUGCGGGCGGGGAAUAACUUUCCGAAAGGGGAGCUAAUACCGCAUAACACCGUAAUGGGGCAUCCUGAGACGGUCAAAGAGGGGACCGCAAGACCUCUCGCCUGCAGAGGAGUCCGCGGCCGAUUAGCUAGUUGGCGAGGUAACGGCGUCACCAAGGCGGCGAUCGGUAGCCGGCCUGAGAGGGCGAACGGCCACACUGGCACUGAAAUACGGGCCAGACUCCUACGGGAGGCAGCAGUGGGAAUUUUGGGCAAUGGCCGAAAGGCUGACCCAGCAACGCCGCGUGUAGGAU